Mycena floridula is the source of this 92-nucleotide non-coding RNA. Lineage: Eukaryota; Fungi; Basidiomycota; Agaricomycetes; Agaricales; Mycenaceae. The record is from the annotation of a GenBank genome assembly.
GUAUUUAUGGGGUAGUGGUAACCUGGGUCGUUGCCAUAUCUUGUCUGAGUUGGUUGUUUGACCCGCCGGAGGUUCAAUUCCUUCUUAAUGCA